GAUGAACGCUAGCUACAGGCUUAACACAUGCAAGUCGAGGGGAAACGACAUCGAAAGCUUGCUUUUGAUGGGCGUCGACCGGCGCACGGGUGAGUAACGCGUAUCCAACCUGCCCAUCACUUGGGAAUAACCUUGCGAAAGUAAGACUAAUACCCAAUGAUAUCCCACGAAGGCAUCGGAAUGGGAUUAAAGAUUUAUCGGUGAUGGAUGGGGAUGCGUCUGAUUAGCUUGUUGGCGGGGUAACGGCCCACCAAGGCAACGAUCAGUAGGGGUUCUGAGAGGAAGGUCCCCCACAUUGGAACUGAGACACGGUCCAAACUCCUACGGGAGGCAGCAGUGAGGAAUAUUAGGCAAUGGGCGAGAGCCUGAACCAGUCAAGUAGCGUGCAGGAAGACGGCCCUAUGGGUUGUAAACUGCUUUUAUAAGGGAAUAAAGUGGGUCACGUGUGACUUUUUGCAUGUACCUUAUGAAUAAGGACCGGCUAAUUCCGUG
RNAcentral lists this ribosomal RNA (492 nucleotides) under uncultured bacterium. Its description in RNAcentral is "partial 16S ribosomal RNA". It matches the Rfam family "Bacterial small subunit ribosomal RNA", at positions 28 to 507 of the family's 1533-position model. The record is from RNAcentral.